AGCAGCCGCGGUAAUUCCAGCUCCAAUAGCGUAUAUUAAAGUUGUUGCAGUUAAAAAGCUCGUAGUUGAAUUUCGGGGUUAGCAGGUCGGUCGUGCCAUCGGUAUGAACUGGUCUCGCUGAUCCCUCCCUCUUGACGAACUGUGAUGCCAUUAAUUUGGUGUCGCAGGGAAUCAGGACUGUUACUUUGAAAAAAUUAGAGUGUUUAAAGCAGGCUCACGCUUGAAUACAUUAGCAUGGAAUAAUGAAAUAGGACGUUUGAUCCUAUUUUGUUGGCUUCUAGGAUUGACGUAAUGAUUAAUAGGGAUAGUUGGGGGCAUUAGUAUUCAAUUGUCAGAGGUGAAAUUCUUGGAUUUAUUGAAGACUAACUACUGCGAAAGCAUUUGCCAAGGAUGUUUUCAUUAAUCAAGAACGAAAGUUAGGGGAUCGAAGACGAUCAGAUACCGUCGUAGUCUUAACCAUAAACUAUGCCGACUAGGGAUCGGAUGAUGUUAAUUUUUUUAAUGACUCAUUCGGCGCCUU
RNAcentral lists this ribosomal RNA (520 nucleotides) under uncultured Glomus. RNAcentral describes it as "SSU rRNA". It matches the Rfam family "Eukaryotic small subunit ribosomal RNA", at positions 569 to 1089 of the family's 1831-position model. The record is from RNAcentral. Lineage: Eukaryota; Fungi; Glomeromycota; Glomeromycetes; Glomerales; Glomeraceae.